GUGUUAGGCAAAUCCACGUGCGUCUGAUGUGACGGGACUGGACUUGACUUGACGGGCUCAGUGUGAAAUGACCCUUAGGCCACACUUGACUGAUCCUCAGUUGUUCAAAUCUUGUUUGCCUGAUUUCCAAUUUCCCCAAACCUGUUUGCCCAAUUCUCAGUUGCUCAAAUUCUAUUUGCCUAAUACUUGCUUUUGCUUGAAUCCCAUUUGCCUAAUUCCCAGUUGUUGGAAUGUUAAGUUGUUUGAUUCCUAUUUGCCUGAAUCCACCUCAUUUGAUUCAUUUUUGAUAUUUUUCUCAAUUUUAUUAGCC
RNAcentral lists this long non-coding RNA (310 nucleotides) under Androctonus crassicauda. The record is from RNAcentral. Lineage: Eukaryota; Metazoa; Arthropoda; Arachnida; Scorpiones; Buthidae.